RNAcentral lists this ribosomal RNA (468 nucleotides) under uncultured bacterium. Its description in RNAcentral is "partial 16S ribosomal RNA". It matches the Rfam family "Bacterial small subunit ribosomal RNA", at positions 28 to 523 of the family's 1533-position model. The record is from RNAcentral.
GAUGAACGCUGGCGGCGUGCCUAACACAUGCAAGUCGAGCGAUUCACUUCGGUAAAGAGCGGCGGACGGGUGAGUAACGCGUGGGUAACCUGCCCUGUACACACGGAUAACAUACCGAAAGGUAUGCUAAUACGAGAUAAUAUGCUUUUAUCGCAUGGUAGAAGUAUCAAAGCUCCGGCGGUACAGGAUGGACCCGCGUCUGAUUAGCUAGUUGGUAAGGUAACGGCUUACCAAGGCGACGAUCAGUAGCCGACCUGAGAGGGUGAUCGGCCACAUUGGAACUGAGACACGGUCCAAACGCCUACGGGAGGCAGCAGUGGGGAAUAUUGCACAAUGGGCGAAAGCCUGAUGCAGCAACGCCGCGUGAGCGAUGAAGGCCUUCGGGUCGUAAAGCUCUGUCCUCAAGGAAGAUAAUGACGGUACUUGAGGAGGAAGCCCCGGCUAACUACGUGCCAGCCGCCGCGGUAA